RNAcentral lists this ribosomal RNA (155 nucleotides) under uncultured bacterium. Its description in RNAcentral is "partial 16S ribosomal RNA". It matches the Rfam family "Bacterial small subunit ribosomal RNA", at positions 356 to 528 of the family's 1533-position model. The record is from RNAcentral.
CGGGAGUCUUGCGCACUGGGCGGAGCCUGACGCAGCGACGCCGCGUGAGUGAUGAUGCUCUUCGGGUCUGUAACCCCUUUUGGUGGGGACGAUUGUGGUGGGGCCCAUUGGAUUAGGCCUGGGCUAUUCCGUGGCAAGAAGCCCCGGUAUCAAUC